Molecule: ribosomal RNA, 2890 nt
Filed under: Shigella dysenteriae
Lineage: Bacteria; Pseudomonadati; Pseudomonadota; Gammaproteobacteria; Enterobacterales; Enterobacteriaceae
Description: bacterial LSU rRNA
Rfam family: Bacterial large subunit ribosomal RNA
Source: RNAcentral
ACUAAGCGUACACGGUGGAUGCCCUGGCAGUCAGAGGCGAUGAAGGACGUGCUAAUCUGCGAUAAGCGUCGGUAAGGUGAUAUGAACCGUUAUAACCGGCGAUUUCCGAAUGGGGAAACCCAGUGUGAUUCGUCACACUAUCAUUAACUGAAUCCAUAGGUUAAUGAGGCGAACCGGGGGAACUGAAACAUCUAAGUACCCCGAGGAAAAGAAAUCAACCGAGAUUCCCCCAGUAGCGGCGAGCGAACGGGGAGCAGCCCAGAGCCUGAAUCAGUGUGUGUGUUAGUGGAAGCGUCUGGAAAGGCGUGCGAUACAGGGUGACAGCCCCGUACACAAAAAUGCACAUAUUGUGAGCUCGAUGAGUAGGGCGGGACACGUGGUAUCCUGUCUGAAUAUGGGGGGACCAUCCUCCAAGGCUAAAUACUCCUGACUGACCGAUAGUGAACCAGUACCGUGAGGGAAAGGCGAAAAGAACCCCGGCGAGGGGAGUGAAAAAGAACCUGAAACCGUGUACGUACAAGCAGUGGGAGCACGCUUAGGCGUGUGACUGCGUACCUUUUGUAUAAUGGGUCAGCGACUUAUAUUCUGUAGCAAGGUUAACCGAAUAGGGAGCCGAAGGGAAACCGAGUCUUAACUGGGCGUUAAGUUGCAGGGUAUAGACCCGAAACCCGGUGAUCUAGCCAUGGGCAGGUUGAAGGUUGGGUAACACUAACUGGAGGACCGAACCGACUAAUGUUGAAAAAUUAGCGGAUGACUUGUGGCUGGGGGUGAAAGGCCAAUCAAACCGGGAGAUAGCUGGUUCUCCCCGAAAGCUAUUUAGGUAGCGCCUCGUGAAUUCAUCUCCGGGGGUAGAGCACUGUUUCGGCAAGGGGGUCAUCCCGACUUACCAACCCGAUGCAAACUGCGAAUACCGGAGAAUGUUAUCACGGGAGACACACGGCGGGUGCUAACGUCCGUCGUGAAGAGGGAAACAACCCAGACCGCCAGCUAAGGUCCCAAAGUCAUGGUUAAGUGGGAAACGAUGUGGGAAGGCCCAGACAGCCAGGAUGUUGGCUUAGAAGCAGCCAUCAUUUAAAGAAAGCGUAAUAGCUCACUGGUCGAGUCGGCCUGCGCGGAAGAUGUAACGGGGCUAAACCAUGCACCGAAGCUGCGGCAGCGACACUAUGUGUUGUUGGGUAGGGGAGCGUUCUGUAAGCCUGUGAAGGUGUACUGUGAGGUAUGCUGGAGGUAUCAGAAGUGCGAAUGCUGACAUAAGUAACGAUAAAGCGGGUGAAAAGCCCGCUCGCCGGAAGACCAAGGGUUCCUGUCCAACGUUAAUCGGGGCAGGGUGAGUCGACUCCUAAGGCGAGGCCGAAAGGCGUAGUCGAUGGGAAACAGGUUAAUAUUCCUGUACUUGGUGUUACUGCGAAGGGGGGACGGAGAAGGCUAUGUUGGCCGGGCGACGGUUGUCCCGGUUUAAGCGUGUAGGCUGGUUUUCCAGGCAAAUCCGGAAAACUAAGGCUGAGGCGUGAUGACGAGGCACUACGGUGCUGAAGCAACAAAUGCCCUGCUUCCAGGAAAAGCCUCUAAGCAUCAGGUAACAUCAAAUCGUACCCCAAACCGACACAGGUGGUCAGGUAGAGAAUACCAAGGCGCUUGAGAGAACUCGGGUGAAGGAACUAGGCAAAAUGGUGCCGUAACUUCGGGAGAAGGCACGCUGAUAUGUAGGUGAAGUCCCUCGCGGAUGGAGCUGAAAUCAGUCGAAGAUACCAGCUGGCUGCAACUGUUUAUUAAAAACACAGCACUGUGCAAACACGAAAGUGGACGUAUACGGUGUGACGCCUGCCCGGUGCCGGAAGGUUAAUUGAUGGGGUCAGCGCAAGCGAAGCUCUUGAUCGAAGCCCCGGUAAACGGCGGCCGUAACUAUAACGGUCCUAAGGUAGCGAAAUUCCUUGUCGGGUAAGUUCCGACCUGCACGAAUGGCGUAAUGAUGGCCAGGCUGUCUCCACCCGAGACUCAGUGAAAUUGAACUCGCUGUGAAGAUGCAGUGUACCCGCGGCAAGACGGAAAGACCCGUGAACCUUUACUAUAGCUUGACACUGAACAUUGAGCCUUGAUGUGUAGGAUAGGUGGGAGGCUUUGAAGUGUGGACGCCAGUCUGCAUGGAGCCGACCUUGAAAUACCACCCUUUAAUGUUUGAUGUUCUAACGUUGACCCGUAAUCCGGGUUGCGGACAGUGUCUGGUGGGUAGUUUGACUGGGGCGGUCUCCUCCUAAAGAGUAACGGAGGAGCACGAAGGUUGGCUAAUCCUGGUCGGACAUCAGGAGGUUAGUGCAAUGGCAUAAGCCAGCUUGACUGCGAGCGUGACGGCGCGAGCAGGUGCGAAAGCAGGUCAUAGUGAUCCGGUGGUUCUGAAUGGAAGGGCCAUCGCUCAACGGAUAAAAGGUACUCCGGGGAUAACAGGCUGAUACCGCCCAAGAGUUCAUAUCGACGGCGGUGUUUGGCACCUCGAUGUCGGCUCAUCACAUCCUGGGGCUGAAGUAGGUCCCAAGGGUAUGGCUGUUCGCCAUUUAAAGUGGUACGCGAGCUGGGUUUAGAACGUCGUGAGACAGUUCGGUCCCUAUCUGCCGUGGGCGCUGGAGAACUGAGGGGGGCUGCUCCUAGUACGAGAGGACCGGAGUGGACGCAUCACUGGUGUUCGGGUUGUCAUGCCAAUGGCACUGCCCGGUAGCUAAAUGCGGAAGAGAUAAGUGCUGAAAGCAUCUAAGCACGAAACUUGCCCCGAGAUGAGUUCUCCCUGACUCCUUGAGAGUCCUGAAGGAACGUUGAAGACGACGACGUUGAUAGGCCGGGUGUGUAAGCGCAGCGAUGCGUUGAGCUAACCGGUACUAAUGAACCGUGAGGCUUAACC